AGGCUUUGAUCCUGGCUCAGAUUGAACGCUGGCGGCAUGCUUUACACAUGCAAGUCGAACGGUAACAGGCCGCAAGGUGCUGACGAGUGGCGAACGGGUGAGUAAUGCAUCGGAACGUGCCCGGUCGUGGGGGAUAACACUUCGAAAGAAGUGCUAAUACCGCAUACGAUCUAUGGAUGAAAGCGGGGGACCGUAAGGCCUCGCGCGAUCGGAGCGGCCGAUGUCAGAUUAGGUAGUUGGUGGGGUAAAGGCCUACCAAGCCAACGAUCUGUAGCUGGUCUGAGAGGACGACCAGCCACACUGGGACUGAGACACGGCCCAGACUCCUACGGGAGGCAGCAGUGGGGAAUUUUGGACAAUGGGCGCAAGCCUGAUCCAGCAAUGCCGCGUGCAGGAAGAAGGCCUUCGGGUUGUAAACUGCUUUUGUACGGAACGAAAAGUUCUGGGUUAAUACCCUGGGGCGAUGACGGUACCGUAAUGAAUAGCACCGGCGUAAAUCGUC
This 502-nucleotide ribosomal RNA is filed under the name uncultured Hydrogenophaga sp. RNAcentral's name for it is "bacterial SSU rRNA". It matches the Rfam family "Bacterial small subunit ribosomal RNA", at positions 8 to 507 of the family's 1533-position model. Lineage: Bacteria; Pseudomonadati; Pseudomonadota; Betaproteobacteria; Burkholderiales; Comamonadaceae. The record is from RNAcentral.